Molecule: ribosomal RNA, 495 nt
Filed under: uncultured bacterium
Lineage: Bacteria
Description: partial 16S ribosomal RNA
Rfam family: Bacterial small subunit ribosomal RNA
Source: RNAcentral
GACGAACGCUGGCGGCGUGCCUAAUACAUGCAAGUAGGACGCUGAAGGAGGAGCUUGCUUCUCUGGAUGAGUUGCGAACGGGUGAGUAACGCGUAGGUAACCUGCCUGUUAGCGGGGGAUAACUAUUGGAAACGAUAGCUAAUACCACAUAAUAUCAGUUGUUGCAUGACAACUGUGUGAAAGGUGCAAUUGCACCACUACCAGAUGGACCUGAGUUGUAUUAGCUAGUUGGUGGGGUAACGGCUCACCAAGGCGACGAUACAUAGCCGACCUGAGAGGGUGAGCGGCCACACUGGGACUGAGACACGGCCCAGACCCCUGCGGGAGGCAGCCGUCGGGAACUUUCGGAAAUGGAAGGAAGGGUGAACGAGCAACGCCGCGUGAGUGAAUAAGGUAUUAGGAUCGUAAAGGUCUGUUGUACGAGAAGAAUGAGUGUGAGAGUGGAACGUUCACAUUGUGACGGUACCUUAACAGAAAGGGACGGCUAACUACGUG